This 269-nucleotide unclassified non-coding RNA is filed under the name Hevea brasiliensis (rubber tree). The record is from RNAcentral. Lineage: Eukaryota; Viridiplantae; Streptophyta; Magnoliopsida; Malpighiales; Euphorbiaceae.
UAGCCUGCAAGCUCUGCGCCACGCCAUUCGAUUCCACCCUUUUUCCUUUCUCAACUUUCAUCACUCCCCAUUUCCCCUUCUUCCCUGCUUCUAUCUAUUACACCCCUGAAUAUCUGCCUUUUUCCGGAAUGGGGAGCGCAGGGGAAACCAAUUAUGGCUCUUAUACUUAUCAGGAGCUUGAAAGAGAGCCUUAUUGGCCGUCGGAGAAACUGACAAUCUCCAUCACUGGCGCUGGUGGCUUUAUAGCUUCCCACAUUGCCAGGCGUUUG